AAAUUGAAGAGUUUGAUCAUGGCUCAGAUUGAACGCUGGCGGCAGGCCUAACACAUGCAAGUCGAGCGGAAACGAGUUAUCUGAACCUUCGGGGAACGAUAACGGCGUCGAGCGGCGGACGGGUGAGUAAUGCCUAGGAAAUUGCCCUGAUGUGGGGGAUAACCAUUGGAAACGAUGGCUAAUACCGCAUGAUGCCUACGGGCCAAAGAGGGGGACCUUCGGGCCUCUCGCGUCAGGAUAUGCCUAGGUGGGAUUAGCUAGUUGGUGAGGUAAGGGCUCACCAAGGCGACGAUCCCUAGCUGGUCUGAGAGGAUGAUCAGCCACACUGGAACUGAGACACGGUCCAGACUCCUACGGGAGGCAGCAGUGGGGAAUAUUGCACAAUGGGCGCAAGCCUGAUGCAGCCAUGCCGCGUGUGUGAAGAAGGCCUUCGGGUUGUAAAG
Molecule: ribosomal RNA, 443 nt
Filed under: Vibrio alginolyticus
Lineage: Bacteria; Pseudomonadati; Pseudomonadota; Gammaproteobacteria; Vibrionales; Vibrionaceae
Also listed under: 2 other names
Description: bacterial SSU rRNA
Rfam family: Bacterial small subunit ribosomal RNA
Source: RNAcentral